GUCAGUUUGCCAACACUCUGGUGCAAGACCAUACACCGUGUCAUGUUCCUAUUUUGGUGCAAACAAGAUUCAUAUUGCCGACUACUCACCGUGUCUUUCUAUUUUACUAAUGGCCAGUCUGGUCCCAUGAGAAGCUUUUUC
RNAcentral lists this small nucleolar RNA (141 nucleotides) under Nadsonia fulvescens var. elongata DSM 6958. Its description in RNAcentral is "Small nucleolar RNA snR80". It matches the Rfam family "Small nucleolar RNA snR80". Lineage: Eukaryota; Fungi; Ascomycota; Dipodascomycetes; Dipodascales. The record is from Rfam by way of RNAcentral.